Molecule: ribosomal RNA, 119 nt
Filed under: Pteropus alecto (black flying fox)
Lineage: Eukaryota; Metazoa; Chordata; Mammalia; Chiroptera; Pteropodidae
Source: RNAcentral
AUCUACAGUCAUGCUACCUUGAACACGCCUGAUCCCAUCUGAUCUCGGAAGCUAAGCAGGGCCUGGCCUGGUUAGUACUUGGAUGGGAGACCACCUAGGAAGACCAGGUGCUGUAGGCG